Molecule: ribosomal RNA, 171 nt
Filed under: Mugil cephalus (flathead mullet)
Lineage: Eukaryota; Metazoa; Chordata; Actinopteri; Mugiliformes; Mugilidae
Description: partial 12S ribosomal RNA
Source: RNAcentral
CACCGCGGUUAUACGAAAGACCCAAGCUGAUAGAUGCCGGCGUAAAGAGUGGUUAAGUAUCUUGAUAGAACUAAAGCCGAACGCCCUCAAGACCGUUAUACGUUUCCGAAGGUAUGAAGACCAACUACGAAAGUAACUUUAACUAUAUCCGACUCCACGAAAGCUGUGAAA